CCAGUCUGCCGGCGUCAGGGUCUUCCGAGUCGAAAACGGCCGGAGGCUAAGAGGGAAGCCGGUGCGAUGCUCCGAAAGGAGCGCCAAGGCCGGCGCUGCCCCCGCAACUGUGAACGGCGAGCUGCUGUCGAUCGAUGCCACUGGCGCGAAAGCGCCGGGAAGGCGCGGCAGAAGCGACGACCCGCAAGCCAGGAGACCUGCCCCGACAGUUCGUAACGU
RNAcentral lists this non-coding RNA (219 nucleotides) under Shinella sp. The record is from RNAcentral. Lineage: Bacteria; Pseudomonadati; Pseudomonadota; Alphaproteobacteria; Hyphomicrobiales; Rhizobiaceae.